This 462-nucleotide ribosomal RNA is filed under the name uncultured bacterium. Its description in RNAcentral is "bacterial SSU rRNA". It matches the Rfam family "Bacterial small subunit ribosomal RNA", at positions 32 to 524 of the family's 1533-position model. The record is from RNAcentral.
AAUCAACGCUGGCGGCGUGCCUAACACAUGCAAGUCGAACGAGAAAGUGGAGCAAUCCAUGAGUACAGUGGCGUACGGGUGAGUAACACGUGACUACCUACCCUCGAGUGGGGAAUAACCUCGGGAAACCGGGCUAAUACCGCAUAACAUCUACGGAUCAAAUGCGUAAGCAGCUUGGGGAGGGGGUCGCGGCCGAUUAGCUAGUUGGUGAGGUAAUGGCCCACCAAGGCAAUGANCGGUAGCCGGCCUGAGAGGGCGCACGGCCACACUGGAACUGAAACACGGUCCAGACUCCUACGGGAGGCAGCAGUGGGGAAUUUUGCGCAAUGGGGGAAACCCUGACGCAGCAACGCCGCGUGGAGGAUGAAGCCCCUUGGGGUGUAAACUCCUUUCGAUCGGGACGAUUAUGACGGUACCGGAUGAAGAAGCACCGGCUAACUCUGUGCCAGCCGCCGCGGUAAU